RNAcentral lists this ribosomal RNA (372 nucleotides) under uncultured organism. Its description in RNAcentral is "partial 16S ribosomal RNA". It matches the Rfam family "Bacterial small subunit ribosomal RNA", at positions 527 to 896 of the family's 1533-position model. The record is from RNAcentral.
GUAGGUGGCAAGCGUUGUCCGGAAUUGUUGGGCGUAAAGCGCGCGCAGGCGGUUCUUUAAGUCUGAUGUGAAAGCCCACGGCUCAACCGUGGAGGGUCAUUGGAAACUGGAGAACUUGAGUACAGAAGAGGAAAGCGGAAUUCCACGUGUAGCGGUGAAAUGCGUAGAGAUGUGGAGGAACACCAGUGGCGAAGGCGGCUUUCUGGUCUGUAACUGACGCUGAGGCGCGAAAGCGUGGGGAGCAAACAGGGAUUAGAUACCCUGGUAGUCCACGCCGUAAACGAUGAGUGCUAAGUGUUAGGGGGUUUCCGCCCCCUUAGUGCUGCAGCUAACGCAUUAAGCACUCCGCCUGGGGAUACGGCCGCAAGGCUG